AUUGAACGCUGGCGGCAUGCCUUACACAUGCAAGUCGAACGGUAACAGGUCUUCGGAUGCUGACGAGUGGCGAACGGGUGAGUAAUACAUCGGAACGUGCCUAGUAGUGGGGGAUAACUACUCGAAAGAGUGGCUAAUACCGCAUGAGAUCUACGGAUGAAAGCAGGGGAUCGCAAGACCUUGUGCUACUAGAGCGGCCGAUGGCAGAUUAGGUAGUUGGUGGGAUAAAAGCUUACCAAGCCGACGAUCUGUAGCUGGCCUGAGAGGACGAUCAGCCACACUGGGACUGAGAAACGGCCCAGACUCCUACGGGAGGCAGCAGUGGGGAAUUUUGGACAAUGGGCGCAAGCCUGAUCCAGCAAUGCCGCGUGCAGGAUGAAGGCCUUCGGGUCGUAAACUGCUUUUGUACGGAACGAAAAGCCCCGGGUUAAUACCCUGGGGUCAUGACGGUACCGUAAGAAUAAGCACCGGCUAACUACGUGCCAGCAGCCGCCGUAA
This 498-nucleotide ribosomal RNA is filed under the name uncultured bacterium. RNAcentral describes it as "partial 16S ribosomal RNA". It matches the Rfam family "Bacterial small subunit ribosomal RNA", at positions 30 to 523 of the family's 1533-position model. The record is from RNAcentral.